This 468-nucleotide ribosomal RNA is filed under the name uncultured bacterium. Its description in RNAcentral is "partial 16S ribosomal RNA". It matches the Rfam family "Bacterial small subunit ribosomal RNA", at positions 28 to 507 of the family's 1533-position model. The record is from RNAcentral.
GAUGAACGCUGGCGGCGUGCUUAACACAUGCAAGUCGAACGGUGAAGGCGGAGCUUGCUCUGCUGGAUCAGUGGCGAACGGGUGAGUAACACGUGAGCAAUCUGCCCCUGACUCUGGGAUAAGCGCUGGAAACGGCGUCUAAUACUGGAUACGAGCUGCGAAGGCAUCUUCAGCAGCUGGAAAGAAUUUCGGUCAGGGAUGAGCUCGCGGCCUAUCAGCUUGUUGGUGAGGUAAUGGCUCACCAAGGCGUCGACGGGUAGCCGGCCUGAGAGGGUGACCGGCCACACUGGGACUGAGACACGGCCCAGACUCCUACGGGAGGCAGCAGUGGGGAAUAUUGCACAAUGGGCGAAAGCCUGAUGCAGCAACGCCGCGUGAGGGACGAAGGCCUUCGGGUUGUAAACCUCUUUUAGCAGGGAAGAAGCGAAAGUGACGGUACCUGCAGAAAAAGAGCCGGCUAACUACGUG